GCGAUGGAUAACAGGUUGAUAUUCCUGUACCACCUAUAAUCGUUUUAAUCGAUGGGGGGACGCAGUAGGAUAGGCGAAGCGUGCGAUUGGAUUGCACGUCUAAGCAGUAAGGCUGAGUAUUAGGCAAAUCCGGUACUCGUUAAGGCUGAGCUGUGAUGGGGAGAAGACAUUGUGUCUUCGAGUCGUUGAUUUCACACUGCCGAGAAAAGCCUCUAGAUAGAAAAUAGGUGCCCGUACCGCAAACCGACACAGGUAGUCAAGAUGAGAAUUCUAAGGUGAGCGAGCGAACUCUCGUUAAGGAACUCGGCAAAAUGACCCCGUAACUUCGGGAGAAGGGGUGCUCUUUAGGGUUAACGCCCAGAAGAGCCGCAGUGAAUAGGCCCAAGCGACUGUUUAUCAAAAACACAGGUCUCUGCUAAACCGUAAGGUGAUGUAUAGGGGCUGACGCCUGCCCGGUGCUGGAAGGUUAAGAGGAGUGGUUAGCUUCUGCGAAGCUACGAAUCGAAGCCCCAGUAAACGGCGGCCGUAACUAUAACGGUCCUAAGGUAGCGAAAUUCCUUGUCGGGUAAGUUCCGACCCGCACGAAAGGCGUAACGAUUUGGGCACUGUCUCAACGAGAGACUCGGUGAAAUCAUAGUACCUGUGAAGAUGCAGGUUACCCGCGACAGGACGGAAAGACCCCGUGGAGCUUUACUGUAGCCUGAUAUUGAAAUUCGGCACAGCUUGUACAGGAUAGGUAGGAGCCUUUGAAACGUGAGCGCUAGCUUACGUGGAGGCGCUGGUGGGAUACUACCCUAGCUGUGUUGGCUUUCUAACCCGCACCACUUAUCGUGGUGGGAGACAGUGUCAGGCGGGCAGUUUGACUGGGGCGGUCGCCUCCUAAAAGGUAACGGAGGCGCUCAAAGGUUCCCUCAGAAUGGUUGGAAAUCAUUCAUAGAGUGUAAAGGCAUAAGGGAGCUUGACUGCGAGACCUACAAGUCGAGCAGGGUCGAAAGACGGACUUAGUGAUCCGGUGGUUCCGCAUGGAAGGGCCAUCGCUCAACGGAUAAAAGCUACCCCGGGGAUAACAGGCUUAUCUCCCCCAAGAGUUCACAUCGACGGGGAGGUUUGGCACCUCGAUGUCGGCUCAUCGCAUCCUGGGGCUGUAGUCGGUCCCAAGGGUUGGGCUGUUCGCCCAUUAAAGCGGUACGCGAGCUGGGUUCAGAACGUCGUGAGACAGUUCGGUCCCUAUCCGUCGUGGGCGUAGGAAAUUUGAGAGGAGCUGUCCUUAGUACGAGAGGACCGGGAUGGACAUACCUCUGGUGUACCAGUUGUCGUGCCAACGGCAUAGCUGGGUAGCUAUGUGUGGACGGGAUAAGUGCUGAAAGCAUCUAAGCAUGAAGCCCCCCUCAAGAUGAGAUUUCCCAACUUCGGUUAUAAGAUCCCUCAAAGAUGAUGAGGUUAAUAGGUUCGAGGUGGAAGCAUGGUGACAUGUGGAGCUGACGAAUACUAAUCGAUCGAAGACUUAAUCAA
Molecule: ribosomal RNA, 1512 nt
Filed under: Staphylococcus aureus
Lineage: Bacteria; Bacillati; Bacillota; Bacilli; Caryophanales; Staphylococcaceae
Description: bacterial LSU rRNA
Rfam family: Bacterial large subunit ribosomal RNA
Source: RNAcentral